Molecule: long non-coding RNA, 3052 nt
Organism: Pongo pygmaeus (Bornean orangutan)
Lineage: Eukaryota; Metazoa; Chordata; Mammalia; Primates; Hominidae
Exons: 2
Source: RefSeq, a predicted model, not a curated record
AGGUGAGGGGUGCACGGGUAAGGCGCGAGCCGCGAGGUUGAGGGGUCCACGCUGAGGGUUGCUUCCCCGCCAGCCGCGGCCUCUUCUCCACGAGCCCGGCCCCCUGCCCCCUGCCCGACUGGUUUUAUGGGGGAUCAUAAGGACAGUCACCACCUAACUAGGAGCAAAUCCGCAACGAUCGAGGAAACAGGGCGCUCCUGCCUUGCGCCCCCAGGCUGACGUUGGGACUUCUUUAAGCCAGCGCUGAGGAGCCCCAGCACCAGGACCGUAGAGAGGCUGUGGAGACAUAUGGGGCAAAUUGUGCCAGCAGCCUGGAACCUCCAGGAGCCCGGCUCAGUGGACAAAAUCCGGCAUGCUCGGACCUCACCCCACAGGCCUCACACCUCAGAGGCACCCCGAAAGGUGAGUUGGUGACCGCAGAGUGAGUUUGUAUCUUUUCGAACACCACCUGCCGGGGGUCCGAGCUCCCACCCCCAGUCUACAUCAGCCAAUCACAGCUCAUUGCAGGUGCUGCGCUUGUCACAUAGCUUCCUGCAAACGAGAAGCCGACCAAGCCAUGCACAGCUGGAAAAUGGCCCUUCUAAAGCCAUCAAGUCCUAAUCCAGGCAACCUGUAAAUAUUACCUCGUAUGGGAAAACAAUUUUUUUUUCGAAUGUCAUUAAGGAUCUUAAGAUAGAGAGAUUGUUCUGGAUCAUCCAGGUGGGCCCUAAACACUGUGGCUCACACCUGUAAUCCCAGCACUUUGGGAGCCUGAGGUGGGUAAAUCUCUUGAGCCCAGGAGUUCGAGACCAGCCUGAGCAACAUGGCGAGACCUCGUCUCUACAAAAGAUAGAAAAAUUAUCUGGGCAUGGUAGUGUGCACCUGUAGUCCCAGCUACUCCUGAGGUGGAAGGAUUGCUUGAGGCCAGGAGAUUGAGGCAGCAGUGAGCCAGGAUCGCACCACUGCACUCUAGCCUAGGUGACAAAGUGAGACCCUAUCUCAAAAAUAAAUAAAUACAACAGAGACAGGGUCUCUGUGUUGGCCAGGCUGGUCUUGAACUCCUGGCCUCAAGCGAUCCUCCCGCCUUGGCCUCUCAAAGUGCUGGGAUGACAGGCAUGAGCCAGCGUGCCUGGCCACAUGCAUCUUUGUAAGAGGGAGGCAGAAGGAAAUUUGGUGCCACACAGAAGAAAGGGCCAUGGGAAGAUGGGGCCUUGAAAGUGGGCGUGAUGCAGUCACAAGCCAAGUAACGCCGGAGCCACCAGAGGCUCCAGAAACAAGGAGCAGAUUCUCCCCAGGAGCCAUGCGAGGGAGCCUGGCCCUGCCAAUGCCUUGAUUUCAGCACAUUAAAAGUGAUUUUGGACUUCUGGCCUCCAGAGCUGUGAAGGAAUAAACUUCUGCUGUUGUAAAAGCCACUUAGCUGUGGUCAUUUGUUGCAGGAGCCAAUGAGUGACUGACAAGAUCAGAGCUGUGACACAGAGGAAGCAGAGCUGUGCCUCAUGCUUUCCAGGCUCUGCUCAUGAGAAACAGGUCACUGGGCUGGCCCAGUGCAGAUUAGGGUGUCACGUAGGAGCAUGAAUACCCGGGGAACCACUUAAGAAGUUGCCUAACACAUGGUGCUUAUAAAAGGAAAAGCAAACAAAGCAACUUUGUUCUGAGAGCUGGGACAUCAGAGGAAGACUGGAGCCACUGUUUCUCACUCAGCCUAUUUCUUUUUUUUUUUUAUUUAUUUAUUUUAUAGAGACGGGGGACUCACUAUGUUGGCCAGUUUGGUCUUUGAACUCCUGGCUUCAAAUGAUCCUCUCACCUAGGCCUCCCAAAGUGCUGGGAUUACAGGAGUGAGCCACCUUGCUGGUCGCGCACCCCAUUUUUUAAGGAAACCUAUACAGAAGGUGGAUUGGAAGUCUCACUUAAGGAGCCUGGCUCAGAAGUUCUGCAAGUUCAACUGGUGUCAUGUGACAUGCUUGGCAGUCACCACCCCCAUUCUUACAGCAAAGAAUAGCAGGGCACACGGCAAACCAGCAGCCUUUCAUGGGCCUAUCAGAGAACUAAGGCUGCCAGACAAACUGGCACCCUGCUCUGAAGAGACAGGCACAUCCAGGGAGAGACAGCACCUGAGAGCUGCUCACCCACAGCAGAAACUCCUGGAUAAACUGGCUUUAGCAGAAAAAUUAGACAACAUGCAAGACCAGAUAGGUAAUGUCAGCAGAGAUGGAAACAAUAAUAAAAAAAAAUGCUAGAAGUCAAAAACACACAAUGGAAAUAAAGAAUGCUCAUUAGUUGACUAGACAGAAUGAAGGAAAGAAUCAGUGAAUAUGAAGAUAAGUCAACAGAAACUUCCCAAACUGAAAUGCAAGGAGAAAAGGGGAUGAAAAAAAAAUCAACUGAUCUAGUUUGAGGGUGUGUCCCCACCAAAUCUCAUGUUGAGUUAUAAUCACCAGUUUUGGAGGUGGGGCUUGGCAGGGGGUGUUUGGAUCAUGGGGGCGGGUCCCUCAUGAAUGGCUUACGCCAUCCCUUCAUCCCCUUGUGAUGAGUAAGCUCUCACUCUGAGUUCACGUGAGAUCUGUUUUUGUUUUUGUUUUGAGACGGAGUCUCGUUCUGUUGCCCAGACUGGAGUGCAGUGGCACAGCACAGUCUCAGCUCACUGCAACCUCCUGGGUUUAAGUGAUUCUUGUGCCUCAGUCUCCCAAGUAGCUGGGAUUACAGGCUUGCGCCACUAUGCCUGUCUAAUUUAUUGUAUUUUUAGUAGAGAUGGGGUUUCAACAUGUUGACCAGGAUGGUCUCAAACUCCUGACCUUGUGAUCCACCCACCUCGGCCUCCCAAAGUGCUGCGAUUAUAGGCAUGAGCCACCGCGCCUGCCCGAGAUCUGUUUUUCUUUAAAGUGUCUGGCACCUACCCACCCCCUCACUCUCUCUCUCCGGCUCCUGCUUUUACCAUGUGAAAUGCCUGCUCCCACUUUGCCUUCCGCCAUGAGUAAAAGUUCCCUGAGGCCCCCAAGAAGCUGAGCAGAUGCUGGUGCCAUGCUGGUAUGGCCUGCAAGAACUGUGAGCCAAUUAAACCUCUUCUCUUUAUAAA